RNAcentral lists this transfer RNA (69 nucleotides) under Systropus sp. 2 YXA-2022a. RNAcentral describes it as "tRNA-Gln". Lineage: Eukaryota; Metazoa; Arthropoda; Insecta; Diptera; Bombyliidae. The record is from RNAcentral.
UAUAUUAAGGUGUAUGAAGCACUAAAAAUUUUGAUUUUUUCAGGUACAGUUUAAUUCUGUUUAAUAUAU